CGGCAAACCCCUCGCCGAGAGGCGCGCGAUGAGCGACAGGCUCCUUUAUGCGUGGUGGGGUGUUUGGAAGGAAAGGAAUCGGCGUGUGUUCCGGAACGCGGUCUUGCCCGCGCUUCAGGUGGCGCACUUGAUUUGGGAGGACAUUCGUAGCCGGCUUAGAGCGUGUUCCUCUGAUCCGGGAGAUUAGGCUUUUGUUCCUUCUUUUUCUUUUCCUUUCUUUUCUUUCCUUUUCUCUCUUCUGUUUCUCUGAGUUCCACCUUAGAACUCUUUGUACAGUUCUAUUCCUUCUAAUCGAAUGACGGAGAUCGACUGUCUUUUCCUCAAAAAAAAAACUUAAGAUGAAAUCUAUUCCCUAUCUGGUUGCUGGAAAAUCACAAGAGAUUAGCCUAGAAAAG
Molecule: long non-coding RNA, 395 nt
Filed under: Brachypodium distachyon (stiff brome)
Lineage: Eukaryota; Viridiplantae; Streptophyta; Magnoliopsida; Poales; Poaceae
Description: long non-coding RNA (BDIS_LNC001659)
Source: RNAcentral